UUUAGGGUGGUUCUAGCAGAGGGGCUCACCUGUUCCCAUUCCGAACACAGAAGUUAAGCCCUCUAGCGCCGAUGGUACUGCGAAAGCGGGAGAGUAGGUCGCCGCCAGUUU
Molecule: ribosomal RNA, 111 nt
Filed under: Epilithonimonas lactis
Lineage: Bacteria; Pseudomonadati; Bacteroidota; Flavobacteriia; Flavobacteriales; Weeksellaceae
Source: RNAcentral